This 298-nucleotide ribosomal RNA is filed under the name uncultured bacterium. Its description in RNAcentral is "partial 16S ribosomal RNA". It matches the Rfam family "Bacterial small subunit ribosomal RNA", at positions 775 to 1067 of the family's 1533-position model. The record is from RNAcentral.
GGAUUAGAUACCCUGGUAGUCCACGCCCUAAACGAUGAACACUAGUUGUUGGAGGACUUUGAUCAUUCAGUAACACAGCUAACGCAUUAAGUGUUCCGCCUGGGGAGUACGGUCGCAAGAUUAAAACUCAAAGGAAUAGACGGGGACCCGCACAAGCGGUGGAGCAUGUGGUUUAAUUCGAAGAUACGCGAAGAACCUUACCAAGACUUGAAAUCCUAAGAAUUCGCUAGAAACAGUGAAGUGUCGGUUUACCGAAACUUAGUGACAGGUGCUGCACGGCUGUCGUCAGCUCGUGCCG